AAAACAUCUUGAUUUGAAUUCAACUGGUUUGAAGAGACACAUUUUCUCUCUUGUCAAAAAAUGGAACUACCUUUGCCUUGAUAUCAAGUCUGGUGCUUUCCACUUCAUUAAAGUACCAUGUAUUGCAUCUGAGUAUAAAUAUUCUAGCUUUCGUUUCCCACAACUUCUUGUUUCCAACUAUGUUGUGACAAUAUGUAUUCAACUCUUUGUAUUGGUGCAAACUGGAAUAUAAUCGUGGGCAAAGAAAACUAAAAUUUUCCAUUAUCAUGAAUCCCCUUUUACUUUCCUUUCUAAUCCAUCCUCAUCCCCAUGGUAAAAUCGAUUCCAUGUUUCUUAUAAUUUAGAUUGUUCAGGUUCUUUAUUAGGCUGGCGAAUCAGGUUCAAUUUUGGGGUUAAUCGGUAUCUAAAAGCUCUUUUCCUAAUGUGAAAUUGGGUUCAUGGUUUUUCCAUUCGUUUGUGUGUUAUUUGUUGUAGACGGAAGUCCCAGCAGUUGAGUUGUCGAUUACCUCUUCCAAGCUGCCAACAACCUCCUCCUAAUGAAAAAUUCUAUGUUUACCCACCCACUUGAUGUUAGAUUGAAAAGAAAGUUUCAGCUGCACACCAACUGCUUGAUGAAAUGCUUGAACCAUAUUUCUGAAGUUUCAUUUUGGCUGCUUUACUGUUUAACAACAGGUUGUUGUUUGAUUUCAAGGGUUGUCCAUCAAAUCAUGCAAGUCGCUUAAAUUCAAGAUUGAAAGCUCUUAAACACAACUUUGGUAGCUAUCAUCUCCUGUGAUCCAGAUAUAAUGAAGGAUUAGGCUAACAUCUCAGGUCAUAAAUGUACUCUCAGCAAUAAACCCAAUUUAAAUGAAGAAUCCUAUGUUUCUAAUCAAACGGAAAUUGGAUUCAAGAACCUGAAUGAAUAGAACUCAAGUAACAGAAAAGAUGCAUCUUCAAAAGGCAAAGCUAAUGCAUUUUCACUACUUGGAAAAUGUUUUAAUUAGGUAAAUUAGUUUUCAUUAUUUUCAAGUACAUUUCUUUCUGGGUCUUUUUUUCAUUAACAUCUUCUUUAUUUUCAGUUUUUUUAUUUGAAUUAUCUUGAGAUUCUACCACUUAUAAAAGUUUUUUCUUAAACUUCUUAAACAUUACUGACAUUGCCUAUAUUUUCACUACUUGUAUGUUGUUGUAAAAUGCAAGUCGUUAAGGGUGUAAAGCUUUUGAGUGCACAUAGUAUUUUGAAUAAUCAUGAGUGUCAUUACCUUGAAGUUAAUGAAAACAAUUCACCUUUUGAAAGAACCUUCUUCUAUUUGUCAAGUGUCGGGUCAUGGCAGGAAUUCGGGAGACAGAAAGAGCAUCAACAAACAAAAGAACAAACACCUACCAUUGUUUCAUUCUGAGAGGUGGAAGUGCAUCAAUAAAAGACAUGGUAUCUAGUAAACAACCCUACUAAUGAAUAAUUAUUAUCAUUAUAAUUACUCAGUUUUAAAUGUAUUUAGAUUUAUUUUUCAAGAAAAAAGUUAUCCAAUUGUAGCAAAUGGCAUCCAAAUACCACUCUACUAGAGAUAUAAUUGGGUAACUUUUUCAAAGUAGAAACAAUCAAAUGACUUUCUAGAAAAAGAUGGAAAGCAAUAAACAUAAUCGAAAGUAUGAUAUAAGAAAUAAAUAAAAGUAGGUUGUAAUUAUAUUUACCAUCAUGGAUUCAUUGGUAGAAACGGUAGUGGGAAGUCUAAGAUGAUGAACUAAAAUUUUUAAAUAUAAAACAGUUGCAAAAUUAAUCUUGUUUUUGUAGUUGAAUAUGGAGGAUUAGGUUUAGGUUAUUUGUAUCACUGCAUAGCUUUGGAGGAGAUUAGUUGUGCUUCAUGAUCAGUUAGAAGAACCUUUGGUGCCCAUUCUAAUCUUUGUAUUGAUCAAUUGGUGAGAAACGGAAGUGCUGCACAAAAGGAGAAAUAUUUACCCAAGUUAAUUAGUGGGGAUCAUGUUGGAGCUCUUGCAAUGAGUGAACCUAAUGUUGGUUCAGAUGUUGUUGGAAUGAAAUGUAAUGCUGAACGUGUUGACGGUGGUUAUGUUUUAAAUGGGAAUAAAAUGUGGUUCACCAAUGGCCCAACUGCUCAAACUUUAGUAAUAUGAUCUUAACUUUUAAAAUAAAAUAUCUUGAAAUUUGAAUAUAUUUUAAAGAUAUUGACUUUGUCAAAAUUAGGUGGUUUGUGCUAAAACAGAUGUAGCUGCUCGUUCAAAAUAAGUCCAGGCAAAGCUCGAGAAAGAAAGCCUGCGAGAGUUGUCUUAAUUUCAGCAGACCGGACGUCUGCCAAUACAAUUAUCCGUGGAUACUCCUUCCCAUUAACCUUAGUUGGGUGGGAGGCAUCCGUGUGUAGAAGGACAUUUAUGCUAACAUUGAGUUGUCUCAAACAAUACUAUGCCAUUUGUUUUUUUCUAAUUUAUGGAAUUAUUAUUUUUGGAGGUCUCCUUGCACCUACAUUGGAGCUGAAAUUGGGAAUAGGAGGGACAUCAUAUGCAGUUUUCAUUUCUAGCAUGCAUCUUCCUAUGCAGUUGAGCUUUGAUGGUGGUUGAAAUAAACAAUGUAAAACAAUAGGAGCAUAAAAGAUGUUCUCUUGGUUGUUGGUGACUGCAUGUUAGUUGGCUUACAGCCGAUUUUUGUGUACGUGUCCAAGGUUGAUGGGAAGUUCAAUUUUAGCCCCAUCAGUGUUAAAUUUCUAACAGAAGUUGCAAAAGUUAUCUUUACACUUGUCAUGCUUCUAAUACAAAAUAUAUGAUGCUAACUUGUUGGCUUGGUUAUUAGGAUAGAAAUCAGAAGAUUGGAGAGAAGCCACUUCUUUCUGUCUCCAGCUUUGUACAGGCAACUCGCAACAAUGUGCUUCUUGUUGUUCCAGCUUGCAACAAAGCAUUCCUCUAUGCUUUUAAUUACACUCUAAAUUCCUUUGCGUUUUUUGUUCAUAGAUUACAAACACCAAUUUCUUUCAAACAACAGAAGAUCUAGAGUUUAAUUGGGUGAUUGAAGGUGAUGGAUGUAAACUUGAUUCUGGAACUCUCAGUCUACCAACAUUAGAGUUUAAUUGGGUGAUUGAAGGUGAUUUUGGUUCUUGAAACGAGACUCAGGAUAUCAUAUUUUGGCAUGGCUAGAAGCUUUGGAGGAAACGAGACUCAAGCAAAAGUAAACACAGAGAGUUGUUGGCAUAUAGUAAGCUAGAUGAUGCAAUUGUAUAUAAAGGAGUUCAUUUUUUUAUAACAUUUACUCACUUUUGGAAUAAUUAUUUAUAUUUGACAUAUUAGUGAAAUGAAUUAUCUUUG
Lactuca sativa (garden lettuce) is the source of this 3285-nucleotide non-coding RNA. Lineage: Eukaryota; Viridiplantae; Streptophyta; Magnoliopsida; Asterales; Asteraceae. The record is from RefSeq and is a predicted model, not a curated record.